UGGGGAAUCUUGGACAAUGGGGGCAACCCUGAUCCAGCCAUGCCGCGUGAGUGAUGAAGGCCUUAGGGUCGUAAAGCUCUUUCGCCUGUGAAGAUAAUGACGGUAGCAGGUAAAGAAACCCCGGCUAACUCCGUGCCAGCAGCCGCGGUAAUACGGAGGGGGUUAGCGUUGUUCGGAAUUACUGGGCGUAAAGCGCACGUAGGCGGACCAGAAAGUUGGGGGUGAAAUCCCGGGGGCUCAACCCCGGAACUGCCUCCAAAACUAUUGGUCUAGAGUUCGAGAGAGGUGAGUGGAAUUCCAAGUGUAGAGGUGAAAUUCGUAGAUAUUUGGAGGAACACCAGUGGCGAAGGCGGCUCACUGGCUCGAUACUGACGCUGAGGUGCGAAAGUGUGGGGGAGCAAAACAGGAUUAGAUACCCCUGGUAGUCCACACCGUAAAACGAUGAAUGCCCAGUCGUCGGGUAGCAUGCUAUUCGGUGACACACCUAACGGAUUAAGCAUUCCGCCUGGGGAGUACGGUCGCAAGAUUAAAACUCAAA
Molecule: ribosomal RNA, 538 nt
Filed under: uncultured bacterium
Lineage: Bacteria
Description: bacterial SSU rRNA
Rfam family: Bacterial small subunit ribosomal RNA
Source: RNAcentral